Molecule: long non-coding RNA, 5980 nt
Filed under: Citrus x clementina
Lineage: Eukaryota; Viridiplantae; Streptophyta; Magnoliopsida; Sapindales; Rutaceae
Description: Citrus clementina (C. clementina) long non-coding RNA (CCLE_LNC004797)
Source: RNAcentral
GCGGGUGUGCCCGUGGCCUAUUUUUGGCACACGGAGGCCGCCCGCAAAGUCUGGGGCCAUUCCGAGUCCGGCGGACGAACUUCGCCCACGCCCCGCACCAAGGCUAUAGCCCACCCGUUUUUUGGCCAUUUUUCCGCUGGGGGGUCUUGGCGCCCCGACCUUCGGGGGCUGAAUUUUGGGCGCGGGUGUGCCCGUGGCCUAUUUUUGGCACACGGAGGCCGCCCGCAAAGUCUGGGGCCAUUCCGAGUCCGGCGGACGAACUUCGCCCACGCCCCCCACCAAGGCUAUAGCCCACCCGUUUUUUGGCCAUUUUUCCGCUGGGGGGUCUUGGCGCCCCGACCUUCGGGGGCUGAUUUUUGGGCGCGGCUGUGCCCGUGGCCUAUUUUUGGCACACGGAGGCCGCCCGCAAAGUCUGGGGCCAUUCCGAGUCCGGCGGACGAACUUCGCCCACCACCCCCACCAAGGCUAUAGCCCACCCGUUUUUUGGCCAUUUAUCCGCUGGGGGGUCUUGGCGCCCCGACCUUCGGGGGCUGAAUUUUGGGCGCGGGUGUGCCCGUGGCCUAUUUUUGGCACACGGAGGCCGCCCGCAAAGUCUGGGGCCAUUCCGAGUCCGGCGGACGAACUUCGCCCACGCCCCCCACCAAGGCUAUAGCCCACCCGUUUUUUGGCCAUUUUUCCGCUGGGGGGUCUUGGCGCCCCGACCUUCGGGGGCUGAUUUUUGGGCGCGGGUGUGCCCGUGGCCUAUUUUUGGCACACGGAGGCCGCCCGCAAAGUCUGGGGCCAUUCCGAGUCCGGCGGACGAACUUCGCCCACGCCCCCCACCAAGGCUAUAGCCCACCCGUUUUUUGGCCAUUUUUCCGCUGGGGGGUCUUGGCUCCCCGACCUUCGGGGGCUGAUUUUUGGGCGCGGGUGUGCCCGUGGCCUAUUUUUGGCACACGGAGGCCGCCCGCAAAGUCUGGGGCCAUUCCGAGUCCGGCGGACGAACUUCGCCCACGCCCCCCACCAAGGCUAUAGCCCACCCGUUUUUUGGCCAUUUUUCCGCUGGGGGGUCUUGGCGCCCCGACCUUCGGGGGCUGAAUUUUGGGCGCGGGUGUGCCCGUGGCCUAUUUUUUGCACACGGAGGCCGCCCGCAAAGUCUGGGGCCAUUCCGAGUCCGGCGGACGAACUUCGCCCACGCCCCCCACCAAGGCUAUAGCCCACCCGUUUUUUGGCCAUUUUUCCGCUGGGGGGUCUUGGCGCCCCGACCUUCGGGGGCUGAAUUUUGGGCGCGGGUGUGCCCGUGGCCUAUUUUUGGCACACGGAGGCCGCCCGCAAAGUCUGGGGCCAUUCCGAGUCCGGCGGACGAACUUCGCCCACGCCCCCCACCAAGGCUAUAGCCCACCCGUUUUUUGGCCAUUUUUCCGCUGGGGGGUCUUGGCGCCCCGACCUUCAGGGGCUGAUUUUUGGGCGCGGGUGUGCCCGUGGCCUAUUUUUGGCAAACGGAGGCCGCCCGCAGAGUCUGGGGCCAUUCCGAGUCCGGCGGACGAGCUUCGCCCACGCCCCCCACCAAGGCUAUAGCCCACCCGUUUUUUGGCCAUUUUUCCGCUGGGGGGUCUUGGCGCCCCGACCUUCGGGGGCUGAUUUUUGGGCGCGGGUGUGCCCGUGGCCUAUUUUUGGCACACGGAGGCCGCCCGCAAAGUCUGGGGCCAUUCCGAGUCCGGCGGACGAACUUCGCCCACGCCCCCCACCAAGGCUAUAGCCCACCCGUUUUUUGGCCAUUUUUCCGCUGGGGGGUCUUGGCGCCCCGACCUUCGGGGGCUGAUUUUUGGGCGCGGGUGUGCCCGUGGCCUAUUUUUGGCAUACGGAGGCCGCCCGCAAAGUCUGGGGCCAUUCCGAGUCCGGCGGACGAACUUCGCCCACGCCCCCCACCAAGGCUAUAGCCCACCCGUUUUUUGGCCAUUUUUCCGCUGGGGGGUCUUGGCUCCCCGACCUUCGGGGGCUGAUUUUUGGGCGCGGGUGUGCCCGUGGCCUAUUUUUGGCACACGGAGGCCGCCCGCAAAGUCUGGGGCCAUUCCGAGUCCGGCGGACGAACUUCGCCCACGCCCCCCACCAAGGCUAUAGCCCACCCGUUUUUUGGCCAUUUUUCCGCUGGGGGGUCUUGGCGCCCCGACCUUCGGGGGCUGAAUUUUGGGCGCGGGUGUGCCCGUGGCCUAUUUUUGGCACACGGAGGCCGCCCGCAAAGUCUGGGGCCAUUCCGAGUCCGGCGGACGAACUUCGCCCACGCCCCCCACCAAGGCUAUAGCCCACCCGUUUUUUGGCCAUUUUUCCGCUGGGGGGACUUGGCUCCCCGACCUUCGGGGGCUGAUUUUUGGGCGCGGGUGUGCCCGUGGCCUAUUUUUGGCACACGGAGGCCGCCCGCAAAGUCUGGGGCCAUUCCGAGUCCGGCGGACGAACUUCGCCCACGCCCCCCACCAAGGCUAUAGCCCACCCGUUUUUUGGCCAUUUUUCCGCUGGGGGGUCUUGGCGCCCCGACCUUCGGGGGCUGAAUUUUGGGCGCGGGUGUGCCCGUGGCCUAUUUUUGGCACACGGAGGCCGCCCGCAAAGUCUGGGGCCAUUCCGAGUCCGGCGGACGAACUUCGCCCACGCCCCCCACCAAGGCUAUAGCCCACCCGUUUUUUGGCCAUUUUUCCGCUGGGGGGUCUUGGCGCCCCGACCUUCGGGGGCUGAAUUUUGGGCGCGGGUGUGCCCGUGGCCUAUUUUUGGCACACGGAGGCCGCCCGCAAAGUCUGGGGCCAUUCCGAGUCCGGCGGACGAACUUCGCCCACGCCCCCCACCAAGGCUAUAGCCCACCCGUUUUUUGGCCAUUUUUCCGCUGGGGGGUCUUGGCGCCCCGACCUUCGGGGGCUGAAUUUUGGGCGCGGGUGUGUCCGUGGCCUAUUUUUGGCACACGGAGGCCGCCCGCAAAGUCUGGGGCCAUUCCGAGUCCGGCGGACGAACUUCGCCCACGCCCCCCACCAAGGCUAUAGCCCACCCGUUUUUUGGCCAUUUUUCCGCUGGGGGGUCUUGGCGCCCCGACCUUCGGGGGCUGAAUUUUGGGCGCGGGUGUGCCCGUGGCCUAUUUUUGGCACACGGAGGCCGCCCGCAAAGUCUGGGGCCAUUCCGAGUCCGGCGGACGAGCUUCGCCCACACCCCCCACCAAGGCUAUAGCCCACCCGUUUUUUGGCCAUUUUUCCGCUGGGGGGUCUUGGCGCCCCGACCUUCGGGGGCUGAAUUUUGGGCGCGGGUGUGCCCGUGGCCUAUUUUUGGCACACGGAGGCCGCCCGCAAAGUCUGGGGCCAUUCCGAGUCCGGCGGACGAACUUCGCCCACGCCCCCCACCAAGGCUAUAGCCCACCCGUUUUUUGGCCAUUUUUCCGCUGGGGGGUCUUGGCGCCCCGACCUUCGGGGGCUGAUUUUUGGGCGCGGGUGUGCCCGUGGCCUAUUUUUGGCACACGGAGGCCGCCCGCAAAGUCUGGGGCCAUUCCGAGUCCGGCGGACGAACUUCGCCCACGCCCCCCACCAAGGCUAUAGCCCACCCGUUUUUUGGCCAUUUUUCCGCUGGGGGGUCUUGGCGCCCCGACCUUCGGGGGCUGAAUUUUGGGCGCGGGUGUGCCCGUGGCCUAUUUUUGGCACACGGAGGCCGCCCGCAAAGUCUGGGGCCAUUCCGAGUCCGGCGGACGAACUUCGCCCACGCCCCCCACCAAGGCUAUAGCCCACCCGUUUUUUGGCCAUUUUUCCGCUGGGGGGUCUUGGCGCCCCGACCUUCGGGGGCUGAAUUUUGGGCGCGGGUGUGCCCGUGGCCUAUUUUUGGCACACGGAGGCCGCCCGCAAAGUCUGGGGCCAUUCCGAGUCCGGCGGACGAACUUCGCCCACGCCCACCACCAAGGCUAUAGCCCACCCGUUUUUUGGCCAUUUUUCCGCUGGGGGGUCUUGGCGCCCCGACCUUCGGGGGCUGAAUUUUGGGCGCGGGUGUGCCCGUGGCCUAUUUUUGGCACACGGAGGCCGCCCGCAAAGUCUGGGGCCAUUCCGAGUCCGGCGGACGAGCUUCGCCCACGCCCCCCACCAAGGCUAUAGCCCACCCGUUUUUUGGCCAUUUUUCCGCUGGGGGGUCUUGGCGCCCCGACCUUCGGGGGCUUAAUUUUGGGCGCGGGUGUGCCCGUGGCCUAUUUUUGGCACACGGAGGGCGCCCGCAAAGUCUGGGGCCAUUCCGAGUCCGGCGGACGAACUUCGCCCACGUCCCCCACCAAGGCUAUAGCCCACCCAUUUUUUGGCCAUUUUUCCGCUGGGGGGUCUUGGCGCCCCGACCUUCGGGGGCUGAUUUUUGGGCGCGGGUGUGCCCGUGGCCUAUUUUUGGCACACGGAGGCCGCCCGCAAAGUCUGGGGCCAUUCCGAGUCCGGCGGACGAACUUCGCCCACGCCCCCCACCAAGGCUAUAGCCCACCCGUUUUUUGGCCAUUUUUCCGCUGGGGGGUCUUGGCGCCCCGACCUUCGGGGGCUGAUUUUUGGGCGCGGGUGUGCCCGUGGCCUAUUUUUGGCACACGGAGGCCGCCCGCAAAGUCUGGGGCCAUUCCGAGUCCGGCGGACGAACUUCGCCCACGCCCCCCACCAAGGCUAUAGCCCACCCGUUUUUUGGCCAUUUUUCCGCUGGGGGGUCUUGGCGCCCCGACCUUCGGGGGCUGAUUUUUGGGCGCGGGUGUGCCCGUGGCCUAUUUUUGGCACACGGAGGCCGCCCGCAAAGUCUGGGGCCAUUCCGAGUCCGGCGGACGAGCUACGCCCACGCCCCCCACCAAGGCUAUAGCCCACCCAUUUUUUGGCCAUUUUUCCGCUGGGGGGUCUUUGCGCCCCGACCUUCGGGGGCUGAAUUUUGGGCGCGGGUGUGCCCGUGGCCUAUUUUUGGCACACGGAGGCCGCCCGCAAAGUCUGGGGCCAUUCCGAGUCCGGCGGACGAACUUCGCCCACGCCCCCCACCAAGGCUAUAGCCCACCCGUUUUUUGGCCAUUUUUCCGCUGGGGGGUCUUGGCGCCCCGACCUUCGGGGGCUGAUUUUUGGGCGCGGGUGUGCCCGUGGCCUAUUUCGGGCACACGGAGGCCGCCCGCAAAGUCGGGGGCCAUUUCGAGUCCGGCGGACGAACUUCGCCCACGCCCCCCACCAAGGCUAUAGCCCACCCGUUUUUUGGCCAUUUUUCCGCUGGGGGGUCUUGGCGCCCCGACCUUCGGGGGCUGAAUUUUGGGCGCGGGUGUGCCCGUGGCCUAUUUUUGGCACACGGAGGCCGCCCGCAAAGUCUGGGGCCAUUCCGAGUCCGGCGGACGAACUUCGCCCACGCCCCCCACCAAGGCUAUAGCCCACCCGUUUUUUGGCCAUUUUUCCGCUGGGGGGUUUUGGCACCACGACCUUCGCGCGCUUAUUUCUGGGCGCGGCUUUGCCCGCGGCUUAUUUUUGGCACCCCGAGGCCCCUCGCAAAGUCUCGCCCCAUUCCGAGUCCGGCGGACGAACUUCGCCCGCGCCCCCCACCAAGGCUAUAGCCCACCCGUUUUUUGGCCAUUUUUCCGCUGGGGGGUUUUGGCACCACGACCUUCGCGCGCUUAUUUCUGGGCGCGGCUUUGCCCGCGGCUUAUUUUUGGCACCCCGAGGCCCCUCGCAAAGUCUCGCCGCAUUCCGAGUCCGGCGGACGAACGUCGCCCGCGCCCCCCACCAAGUCUAUAGCCCACCCGUUUUUUGGCCAUUUUUCCGCUCGGGGGUUUUGGCACCACGACCUUCGGGCGCUUAUUUUUGGGCGCGGCUUUGCCCGCGGCUUAUUUUUGGCACCCCGAGGCCCCUCGCAAAGUCUCGCCCCAUUCCGAGUCCGGCGGACGAACUUCGCCCGCGCCCCCCACCAAGGCUAUAGCCCACCCGUUUUUUGGCCAUUUUUCCGCUGGGGGGUCUUGGCGCCCCGACCUUCGGGGGCUGAUUUUUGGGCGCGGGUG